CCCUUAGAUGGUCUGGGCGGCACGCGCGCUACAAUGAUGCAUUGAAAAAGUCUUCUGACCUUAGAAGGUUGGGUAUUCUCCAAAGUGCAUCGUGAUGGGAAUAGUUUAUUGCAAUUUUUAAUCUUGAACGAGGAAUUCCUAUUAAGUACAGGUCAUCAACUUGUGUUGAUUACGUCCCUGCCCUUUGUACACACCGCCCGUCGCACCUACCGAUUGGAUGGUCCGGUGAAGCCUCGGGAUUGUGGUUCUUGCCGCUUUAUUGUGGCGUGACCGCGAGAACUUGUCUAAACCUUAUCAUCUAGAGGAAGGUGAAGUCGUAACA
This 322-nucleotide ribosomal RNA is filed under the name uncultured eukaryote. Its description in RNAcentral is "partial 18S ribosomal RNA". It matches the Rfam family "Eukaryotic small subunit ribosomal RNA", at positions 1470 to 1796 of the family's 1831-position model. The record is from RNAcentral.